UACGAAGGGGGGCGAGCGUUGUUCGGAUUUACUGGGCGUAAAGGGCGCGCAGGCGGCGGAUCAAGUCAGACGUGAAAGCCCCGGGCUUAACCUGGGAACUGCGUUUGGGGACUGAUUUGCUAGAGAUCGGGGAGAGGAGAGUGGAAUUCCCAGUGUAGAGGUGAAAUUCGUAGAUAUUGGGAAGAACACCGGUGGCGAAGGCGGCUCACUGGCUCAUUACUGACGCUCAGGCGCGACAGCGUGGGGAUCAAACAGG
Molecule: ribosomal RNA, 256 nt
Filed under: uncultured bacterium
Lineage: Bacteria
Description: partial 16S ribosomal RNA
Rfam family: Bacterial small subunit ribosomal RNA
Source: RNAcentral